This 471-nucleotide ribosomal RNA is filed under the name uncultured Acidobacteriota bacterium. RNAcentral's name for it is "bacterial SSU rRNA". It matches the Rfam family "Bacterial small subunit ribosomal RNA", at positions 224 to 704 of the family's 1533-position model. The record is from RNAcentral. Lineage: Bacteria; Pseudomonadati; Acidobacteriota.
GAGGAGCCCGCGGCUGAUUAGCUAGUUGGUGAGGUAAUGGCUCACCAAGGCAACGAUCAGUAUCCGGUCUGAGAGGACGGUCGGACACACUGGAACUGAGACACGGUCCAGACUCCUACGGGAGGCAGCAGUGGGGAAUUUUUGGCAAUGGGGGCAACCCUGACCAAGCAACGCCGCGUGGGUGAUGAAGUCUCUUGGGACGUAAAACCCUUUCGACGGGGAAGAAACCGCAAGGUUGACGGUACCCGUAGAAGAAGCCCCGGCUAACUCCGUGCCAGCAGCCGCGGUAAUACGGGGGGGGCAAGCGUUGUUCGGAAUUACUGGGCGUAAAGGGCGCGUAGGCGGUUCGUUAAGUCGGAUGUGAAAACUCUGGGCUCAACCCAGAGCCUGCAUCCGAAACUGGCGGGCUAGAGUUCUGGAGGGGGUAGCGGAAUUCCUGGUGUAGCGGUGAAAUGCGUAGAUAUCAGGAGG